Caenorhabditis elegans is the source of this 168-nucleotide non-coding RNA. The record is from Ensembl. NCBI's taxonomy places the organism in Eukaryota, Metazoa, Nematoda, Chromadorea, Rhabditida, Rhabditidae.
UAGUUAGUUACUUGGAAAAAAUGAAGAAACAAACUUUAAAUCUGUUUUUAGAUCAAAUUAACAACGCAAUUAUUUUUCAAACUGGUCGUUUGGCAAAAUUUUGUAAAGGACUUUUAAGUAAUCAAAAAUUAAAAAAAAAAUUAAGCAAACUAUGAUCUGUUGUGAAAU